RNAcentral lists this ribosomal RNA (101 nucleotides) under Ornithocephalus grex-anserinus. Its description in RNAcentral is "partial 18S ribosomal RNA". It matches the Rfam family "Eukaryotic small subunit ribosomal RNA", at positions 1727 to 1831 of the family's 1831-position model. Lineage: Eukaryota; Viridiplantae; Streptophyta; Magnoliopsida; Asparagales; Orchidaceae. The record is from RNAcentral.
GGCCGCCCGUGAAUCGGCGAGAAGUCCAUUGAACCUUAUCAUUUAGAGGAAGGAGAAGUCGUAACAAGGUUUCCGUAGGUGAACCUGCGGAAGGAUCAUUG